GAUGAACGCUGGCGGCGUGCUUAACACAUGCAAGUCGAACGGAAAGGCCCUGCUUUUGUGGGGUGCUCGAGUGGCGAACGGGUGAGUAACACGUGAGUAACCUGCCCUUGACUUUGGGAUAACUUCAGGAAACUGGGGCUAAUAUCGGAUAGGAGCUCCUGCUGCGUGGUGGGGGUUGGAAAGUUUCGGCGGUUGGGGAUGGAAUCGCGGCUUAUCAGCUUGUUGGUGGGGUAGUGGCUUACCAAGGCUUUGACGGGUAGCCGGCCUGAGAGGGUGACCGGCGACAUUGGGACUGCGGGACGGCCCAGUAGCCUACGGGAGGCAGCAGGGGGGAGUAUUACGCAAUGGGCGGAAGCCUGAUGCAGAGACGCCGGGUGCGGGAUGACGGGCUUCUGGUUGUGAACCGCUUUCGCAGGUGACGAAGCGUUAGUGACGGUAAUUGGUAAAGAAGCACCGGCUAACUACGUG
Molecule: ribosomal RNA, 468 nt
Filed under: uncultured bacterium
Lineage: Bacteria
Description: partial 16S ribosomal RNA
Rfam family: Bacterial small subunit ribosomal RNA
Source: RNAcentral